GGGGCCGUAGUCGAGCCUGGUAAGAUGUGCGGCUUGGACCCGGGAGGGGGACCCCCGGGAGUUCAAAUCCCGGCGGCCCCA
Molecule: transfer RNA, 81 nt
Filed under: Thermoproteus sp. CP80
Lineage: Archaea; Thermoproteati; Thermoproteota; Thermoprotei; Thermoproteales; Thermoproteaceae
Also listed under: 3 other names
Description: tRNA-Pro
Rfam family: tRNA
About the family: Transfer RNA (tRNA) molecules are approximately 80 nucleotides in length.
Source: RNAcentral